This is a non-coding RNA of Momordica charantia (bitter melon), 1904 nucleotides long. Lineage: Eukaryota; Viridiplantae; Streptophyta; Magnoliopsida; Cucurbitales; Cucurbitaceae. The record is from RefSeq and is a predicted model, not a curated record.
UUUUGUUUACUUUAAAAAAUAGAAAAAAUUUUAAGCCAAAUUUCUAAACAGACUUUUACAAGGUGUUUGAUUAUUGGGUUAGACAUUGGAUCCGAGUUAGAGGAGUAAAAGAAGACAAAUGUUUGGCAUGUGGGUUUGCUUAUGUUAAGCUAGGAAUAUUGCAAAUGAAUACAAAUUAUAAAUCUAUAAACCAAAUGCCGACUACACAAAUUUAAGUUUAUAAAACUAAAUCAUUUUACAUCCAGAGUCAAACUUUAUAAACCUAAAUUUAUUACAAACAAUGAUGAAAUAAUUUAGAAAUAUUGAAAAGUAAAUGUAAAUGUAAUUAAAGAGAAUAUACUGUAAAUUUCUCAGAAUUUUUUACUCAGUACUUCUGUUGUCUCUUCUCAUGGGUCCCUGUCCCUCUCUUCUCUGAACUCCUUUUGGUCCCCGUCGUUUCCUUUCCUCCUCCAUUUUGGACACUGCCAAAGCUCUCUCUCUCCCAUUAUUUUCUUUCUUCCUUUUAAGAAUAUGAUAUUGAAAGUGGUCCGUUUUUAUAAAGUUCAGUUGAAUCGGGUUUUCAAGUAACUUCAGGAUUUUAUUUGUCUUCAGUUUUUCUUUUAACUUCUUUGCCACCAGGUUCAUGGGUUUCUCCUUCCUCUACUUGCUUUCUUCUGAAUUAGCUUAUCAGUUUACAGUGAAGACGAAAUGGUUUCACGACUUCUUUAUUUGAAUUUUGGCUCUCAGUUGCACUGACUGCUUCUUUAAUUUUGGUGGAUCAUCUCUUGGUUUUCAAAGGCUAUUAUUCCUUUGCUUUUAUUUUGGUCUUAUCUGCCGUAAUUUAACCUUUCAAUCACGUUUAUUUUCGUUUCAGGUUUCCAUCUGAUCUGAACAUGGGACAGAACUGUAAUGCCUUGGACUGGUUUACGAACGUCUUCAAGGAAAUGGAGGGCAGGUGCUUGGAGAUGUGUGAUGUCUUGGAGAAGGUAAAACUACUACAAUGUGCUUGAAAAUAAUUACAGAAAUUUUGGAAAUGGGUCUUAGUCUUGGUUUUCAGCACCACCAAUUUGGUGAUGGUUUCCUAAUUUGGGCUUUUUUCUAUGGUUCAAAAAACUCUUAUCCCACAAACAGUUCCACCCUUUACCUCUUGUGCAAUUUUUGAUGUUACAUUUUCAGUGAUAAAAUGCAACUUUUGUUAAUUGGAGUUCUCUCUCCUGUCACGUACAAUUGUGGACAGCCAUGUGGGUUCAAUAUAAGAUGCAAUUAUAUUUAACUAUAUUCUUAAGUGAUGAAUAUUUUACAUACCAGCAUUUUCUUGAAAUAGUCAGCUUGUCAGAAGCUUCUAUGAUAAUAUUCUUAAUUCUUGGGUGUCAUUUCCUGUAAAGAAAAGGGGAGACAGGCACAUAUAUGAAAACAAGUUAACGGACACCCAUCAGCUUUGGAGAAAUAAGAAAAAGAGCAGUAUAACAUAUGUGCUUUUGUUAUAUCAUUCAUUUUGUUGAAUCUUGCUAUUGCAGGGGAGCAUCAUAUCCAGACAGAACGAAGAACAAUUCAAACACCUGAUAAACAGAAUCUUCAUAUUAUUCAACCAAACCAUUUCUCAGCUGACCAAAAAAUUGAAAAAAUGAAUGCUAAAGCAAAUAUACCGAGUUCAUCAAGGAAGCAGAGCCAAAAAGCAAAUGCACUUACCAACGAAAUAGUAAAGUUUUCUCCAUCCACCACACAAAAUGAUGAAUUCCCUGACUGGGAGGUUAUUUAGAUUCAUGGUAGGUAGAGAUGAUAUCAGUCGGCUAAUUUUAGCAUUUUGCUUUCCUUCUAAAAGCAGAGGUCGUGAACAGGCAGUAACAUUCAUGAUGAUCCUCCAAAUAUUAUCCUAUAAAGACUUAUCCUAUGCAAUGCUAUGCUAGUCAUUUGGUUGCUUUCUC